This 301-nucleotide ribosomal RNA is filed under the name uncultured bacterium. Its description in RNAcentral is "partial 16S ribosomal RNA". It matches the Rfam family "Bacterial small subunit ribosomal RNA", at positions 509 to 807 of the family's 1533-position model. The record is from RNAcentral.
CAGUCGCCGCGGUAAUACGUAGGGUGCGAGCGUUAAUCGGAAUUACUGGGCGUAAAGCGUGCGCAGGCGGUUAUGCAAGACAGAUGUGAAAUCCCCGGGCUUAACCUGGGAACUGCAUUUGUGACUGCAUGGCAAGAGUGCGGCAGAGGGGGAUGGAAUUCCGCGUGUAGCAGUGAAAUGCGUAGAUAUGCGGAGGAACACCGAUGGCGAAGGCAAUCCCCUGGGCCUGCACUGACGCUCAUGCACGAAAGCGUGGGGAGCAAACAGGAUUAGAUACCCCCGUAGUCCCUGUCUCUUAUAC